AGAGUUUGAUCCUGGCUCAGGACGAACUUUGGCGGCGUGCUUAACACAUGCAAGUCGAACGAGAAUCUGCUGAAGGAGGAUUCGUCCAACGGAAGCAGAGGAAAGUGGCGGACGGGUGAGUAACGCGUGAGGAACCUGCCUUGAAGAGGGGGACAACAGUUGGAAACGACUGCUAAUACCGCAUGACGCAUAGGAGUCGCAUGGCUCUUAUGCCAAAGAUUUAUCGCUUCAAGAUGGCCUCGCGUCUGAUUAGCUAGUUGGCGGGGUAACGGCCCACCAAGGCGACGAUCAGUAGCCGGACUGAGAGGUUGAACGGCCACAUUGGGACUGAGAUACGGCCCAGACUCCUACGGGAGGCAGCAGUGGGGAAUAUUGGGCAAUGGGCGCAAGCCUGACCCAGCAACGCCGCGUGAAGGAAGAAGGCUUUCGGGUUGUAAACUUCUUUUAAGAGGGAAGAGCAGAAGACGGUACCUCUAGAAUAAGCCACGGCUAACUACGUGCCAGCAGCCGCGGUAAUACGUAGGUGGCAAGCGUUGUCCGGAUUUACAGGGUGUAAAGGGCGUGCAGCCGGGUCUGCAAGUCAGAUGUGAAAUCCAUGGGCUCAACCCAUGAACUGCAUUUGAAACUGUAGAUCUUGAGUGUCGGAGGGGCAAUCGGAAUUCCUAGUGUAGCGGUGAAAUGCGUAGAUAGUAGGAGGAACACCAGUGGCGAAGGCGGAUUGCUGGACGAUAACUGACGGUGAGGCGCGAAAGUGUGGGGAGCAAACAGGAUUAGAUACCCUGGUAGUCCACACUGUAAACGAUGAAUACUAGGUGUGCGGGGACUGACCCCCUGCGUGCCGCAGUUAACACAAUAAGUAUUCCACCUGGGGAGUACGAUCGCAAGGUUGAAACUCAAAGGAAUUGACGGGGGCCCGCACAAGCGGUGGAUUAUGUGGUUUAAUUCGAAGCAACGCGAAGAACCUUACCAGGGUUUGACAUCCUGCUAACGAAGUAGAGAUACAUUAGGUGCCCUUCGGGGAAAGCAGAGACAGGUGGUGCAUGGUUGUCGUCAGCUCGUGUCGUGAGAUGUUGGGUUAAGUCCCGCAACGAGCGCAACCCUUGCCUUUAGUUGCCAUCAUUAAGUUGGGCACUCUAGAGGGACUGCCAGGGAUAACCUGGAGGAAGGUGGGGAUGACGUCAAAUCAUCAUGCCCCUUAUGCUUAGGACUACACACGUGCUACAAUGGCAAGUACAAAGAGAAGCAAUACUGUGAAGUGGAGCAAAACUCAAAAACUUGUCUCAGUUCGGAUUGUAGGCUGAAACUCGCCUACAUGAAGCUGGAGUUGCUAGUAAUCGCGAAUCAGAAUGUCGCGGUGAAUACGUUCCCGGGUCUUGCACUCACCGCCCGUCA
RNAcentral lists this ribosomal RNA (1392 nucleotides) under uncultured bacterium. Its description in RNAcentral is "bacterial SSU rRNA". It matches the Rfam family "Bacterial small subunit ribosomal RNA". The record is from RNAcentral.